GACGAACGCUGGCGGCGUGCUUAACACAUGCAAGUCGACAUGAGUGGCGAACGGGUGAGUAAUACGUGGGUAACCUGCCCUCCUUUUGGGAUAAGCCUUGGAAACGGGGUCUAAUACUGAAUCAAGGGGGUUGGUCUCGCGGCAUCUCAGCUGGUUGGUGGGGUGAUGGCCUACCAAGGCGGUGACGGGUAGCCGGCGUGAGAGUGUGACCGGCGACAUGUGCGCUAAGAUGAGUCCUAGAAUCCUACGGGAGGCAGCAGUGGGGGCUAUUGAACAAUGGGCGAAAGCCGGAUGCAGCGACGCCGAGGGGGGGAUGAAGGCUUUCGGAUUUUAAUCCUCUUUCGCUAUCGAAAGGGUAGGUGGGGAAGAAGCGCCGGCUAACUACGUGCCAGCAGCCGCGGUAAUUC
RNAcentral lists this ribosomal RNA (407 nucleotides) under uncultured bacterium. RNAcentral describes it as "partial 16S ribosomal RNA". It matches the Rfam family "Bacterial small subunit ribosomal RNA", at positions 28 to 526 of the family's 1533-position model. The record is from RNAcentral.